This is a long non-coding RNA of Frankliniella occidentalis (western flower thrips), 801 nucleotides long. RefSeq lists it as uncharacterized. NCBI's taxonomy places the organism in Eukaryota, Metazoa, Arthropoda, Insecta, Thysanoptera, Thripidae. The transcript is spliced from 3 exons. The record is from RefSeq and is a predicted model, not a curated record.
UUAUUUUUUGAGGCCGAGUAAAUGAUGCCCGUGAUGUAAAUAACUUGGCUCACUGUCAGCUUUGUUGAAAAGGUGUUGAAUGGGUAGACUCCUCCAAUCCAUGCAGUAUGUUAAAUACUCUUGUAGGUCACUUAUGCGAAUGGGUGAACUGCCAGUGUUUUAUCACAUAUCAUUUUAUCACAUAUAUUUUACUCUAUAUUAUUCUCGUGGAACAGAAAACUUUAUUACUUUCUGGUUGGGGUGCAAACCGAGUGGUACUAUUUGCGUAACCCUCCAAACAAUCAAUCAAUGUGCGUUGCAGAUAAUUUGCAGCUGCCCCUUCGUACUUAAUGCUUAGUCUAGUGCCAAAAUUAGUUAUUUGAAAGACCAUGGUCAAUUAGAGACGUAUGGGGGGAGAGGCAUUUAAAAGUGUAUUGUGUGAGUAAAUUAUAUGUAAUUAAUAGUCGAUGAGCGCUAAAAGUACCUUUUAAUAUGAUUGCAGACACUCGGCCCAGAAAUGUUCUUGACAUGAGCAUAGAAGUCCAUGGAGUCAUUUUUACCUGAAAGUACAGGAAGAUUAUCGGCCUGGAGGUGCACCUGACUUGGACAUCAGCAAAGCAGCUUAUGUGUCACCUGCUGUAUGCUGAGUUGGAGUUGGAGCACACAGGAGGAGGAAUCGCUCCUUUUCCUCAUGGUUGCAGGAAUGAAUCUGGUAUUUAUAUUCGCCCAAAGUCACCAGCAGAAACAAGCCAACUAAUGGAGCAAGAUGUAAUCUCAUAACGUAAAUGAUUUGAACCAAUAAAAAAUUCAAUUAAUAUCCAA